RNAcentral lists this ribosomal RNA (497 nucleotides) under uncultured bacterium. RNAcentral describes it as "partial 16S ribosomal RNA". It matches the Rfam family "Bacterial small subunit ribosomal RNA", at positions 28 to 507 of the family's 1533-position model. The record is from RNAcentral.
GAUGAACGCUGGCGGCGUGCCUAAUACAUGCAAGUCGAACGAACAGACCAUGCGCUUGCUCCGCUGACGUUAGCCGCACAGGGGUGUAUCACACGUGUAUACCCUCCCUAUCUGUCUGAUAUAACUUCGAGAAACCGGCGCUUAUCCGAUAUAAUCUCUUGAUCCGCAUGGUUCAAUAGUAAAAGUCGGCUUUGCUGUAAGUUCUAGCUGCAUCCUCGCCGCAUUAGCUAGUUGGUAAGGUAACGGCUUACCAAGGCAACGAUGCGUAGACGACCUGAUAGGGUGAUCGGCGACACGGGAACUGAGACACGGUCCAGACUCCUACGGGAGGCAGCAGUAGGGAAUCUUCCGCAAUGGUCGAGAGCCUGACAGAGCAACGCCGCGUGAGUGAUGAAGGUCUUCGGAGCGGAAAACUCUGUUAUUAGGUAAGAACAAAUGUGGAAGUAAAUAUGCACGUCUUGACGGUAACUAAUCAGAAAGCAACGGCUAACUACGUG